GAACAAGUGGAUAAUGUUGGGGUGAACCAAAAAAGUUUGGGUAGAGCCGGAUCUAAGUGUUGGCUAGGUAAACGCCCCUUAGAAAGAGGGGUAGUUAUUAACCAUGUGGACUGUUGGAAGUAUGCCCUAGAGGCAAUAAUAAAGUGGUUGUUAUUAUAUUUCCUUGUUCAUGAUAAUUGUCUAUUGUUCAAGCUAUAA
RNAcentral lists this ribosomal RNA (198 nucleotides) under Triticum aestivum (bread wheat). RNAcentral's name for it is "partial small subunit ribosomal RNA". Lineage: Eukaryota; Viridiplantae; Streptophyta; Magnoliopsida; Poales; Poaceae. The record is from RNAcentral.